RNAcentral lists this ribosomal RNA (301 nucleotides) under uncultured bacterium. RNAcentral's name for it is "partial 16S ribosomal RNA". It matches the Rfam family "Bacterial small subunit ribosomal RNA", at positions 509 to 807 of the family's 1533-position model. The record is from RNAcentral.
CAGCCGCCGCGGGAAUACGUAGGGUGCAAGCGUUAAUCGGAAUUACUGGGCGUAAAGCGUGCGCAGGCGGUCCGCUAAGACAGAUGUGAAAUCCCCGGGCUUAACCUGGGAACUGCAUUUGUGACUGGCGAGCUAGAGUAUGGCAGAGGGGGGUAGAAUUCCACGUGUAGCAGUGAAAUGCGUAGAGAUGUGGAGGAAUACCGAUGGCGAAGGCAGCCCCCUGGGCCAAUACUGACGCUCAUGCACGAAAGCGUGGGGAGCAAACAGGAUUAGAUACCCCAGUAGUCCCUGUCUCUUAUAC